RNAcentral lists this unclassified non-coding RNA (277 nucleotides) under soil metagenome. RNAcentral describes it as "partial contains small subunit ribosomal RNA, internal transcribed spacer 1, and 5.8S ribosomal RNA". The record is from RNAcentral.
UUUCCGUAGGUGAACCUGCGGGAGGAUCAUUAUCGUACCAAGUGUGUGAGGCAUGCGAGGGCUGUCGCUGACCCUUUAGUCGUGCACGCCAGAGUGUGUCCUCUCACAUAACAAUCCAUCUCACCCCUUGUGCACCACCGCGUGGGCACCCUUUGAGAUCACACCGAUCUCAGAUGGGGGCUCACGUUUUCACACAAAAAACCCCCUUUAAAAAGUGUAGAGAAUGUCCUAAUUUAUGCAAUCAAUACAACUUUCAACAACGGAUCUCUUGGCUCUC